This 253-nucleotide ribosomal RNA is filed under the name uncultured bacterium. RNAcentral's name for it is "partial 16S ribosomal RNA". It matches the Rfam family "Bacterial small subunit ribosomal RNA", at positions 524 to 776 of the family's 1533-position model. The record is from RNAcentral.
UACGUAGGGUGCGAGCGUUAAUCGGAAUUACUGGGCGUAAAGCGUGCGCAGGCGGUUCGUUAUGUCCGUUGUGAAAGCCCCGGGCUCAACCUGGGAAUGGCAAUGGAAACUGGCGGGCUAGAGUGUGGCAGAGGGGGGUGGAAUUCCGCGUGUAGCAGUGAAAUACGUAGAGAUGCGGAGGAACACCGAUGGCGAAGGCAGCCCCCUGGGCUGACACUGACGCUCAGGCACGAAAGCGUGGGGAGCAAACAGG